Molecule: Y RNA, 105 nt
Filed under: Monopterus albus (swamp eel)
Lineage: Eukaryota; Metazoa; Chordata; Actinopteri; Synbranchiformes; Synbranchidae
Description: Y RNA (ENSMALG00000013700.1)
Rfam family: Y RNA
About the family: Y RNAs are components of the Ro ribonucleoprotein particle (Ro RNP), in association with Ro60 and La proteins.
Source: RNAcentral
AGUUGGUCCGAUGACGGUGGGGUUUCAAUUGAUUGCUACAGUGAGUUACAGAACCUCCACGUUUCUUCUCUCCCCUCCUUCACCGUCGGUAUUGACCAGCUUUUU